GACGAACCGUACGAACGUUAUUCGGAAUUACUGGGCUUAAAGGGUGCGUAGGCUGUGCAGAAAGUUGGGUGUGAAAGCCCUCGGCUCAACCGAGGAAUUGCGCUCAAUACUGCCGAGCUUGAGAGAGACAGAGGUAAGCGGAACUAAUGGUGGAGCGGUGAAAUGCGUUGAUAUCAUUAGGAACACCGGUGGCGAAGGCGGCUUACUGGGUCUUUUCUGACGCUGAGGCACGAAAGCCAGGGGAGCGAACGGG
RNAcentral lists this ribosomal RNA (253 nucleotides) under uncultured bacterium. RNAcentral describes it as "partial 16S ribosomal RNA". It matches the Rfam family "Bacterial small subunit ribosomal RNA", at positions 524 to 776 of the family's 1533-position model. The record is from RNAcentral.